Molecule: ribosomal RNA, 253 nt
Filed under: uncultured bacterium
Lineage: Bacteria
Description: partial 16S ribosomal RNA
Rfam family: Bacterial small subunit ribosomal RNA
Source: RNAcentral
UACGUAGGCAGCAAACGUUGUUCGGAAUUACUGGGCGUAAAGAGUGUGUAGGCGGUUUUGUUAGUUUGGUGUGAAAUCUCCCGGCCUAACUGGGAGGGUGCGCCGAAUACUGCAAAGCUUGAGUACUGGAGAGGAUAGCGGAAUUCCUGGUGUAGCGGUGAAAUGCGUAGAUAUCAGGAGGAACACCGGCGGUGUAGACGGCUAUCUGGACAGUAACUGACGCUGAGACACGAAAGCGUGGGGAGCAAACAGG